This is an RNA transcript of Cicer arietinum (chickpea), 2260 nucleotides long. It is a transcript of the gene named F-box protein At4g02760, with no coding region annotated. The record is from RefSeq and is a predicted model, not a curated record. Lineage: Eukaryota; Viridiplantae; Streptophyta; Magnoliopsida; Fabales; Fabaceae.
UUUUUUAGUGUGUGAUUGAAGUUAAGUGAGUGAGUGUGGAAUGUGAAAUCAAUCAUAUAUAUCAAUGUCACGGAAUAGUAAUAUGAUGAUGAUGAUAUUAUUUUAUCAUAGGUAGUAAUAAUGUAUUGAUUCGGGUAUGGAUACGGUUGAGGAAGUUGAGAUUCCAAUUCCAAUUCUAUCAUCGUCUUCAUCAUCAAUGGCGAAGAGACCCUGUCCAUCUCAAAACCCUAGAAUGGAAGUCGAGCAUCUCCUCGAUGAAUUCCUCUCCUUAUCUGACCUUCCUUCUCUCUCCCUCGAUCUCUACUUCGAGAAUCUUCUUCAAUCUAUGCCUACCGACUCCGAUCUCAUCGAUCGCGCUCUCAAAAUGGGUUCUCUCCUUCUCGAUGCGGCCAAACACUCUUCCCGCAAACGCGCUUCUAACCACAAUUCUCUCACCUGGCCUCUCCCUCCUGAUCUCACUUUCAAGGUCUUCUCGAUGCUCGAUACUCAGAGCCUGUGCUAUGCAUCAGCUACUUGUUCGUUUUUUAGCAAAUGUGCUAAAGAUCCUCUGUGCUAUGAGAAUCUUGAUUUGACAACACUUGUUCCCAAGGUUAACAAUGCAGUAGUUGCCACGAUGAUUCAGCGAGCUGGAAAGGCACUAAGGUCUCUUAAACUUGGUGUUGUCCCUGCUACUGCUUGUUCACCUGGAUUUUGUCAACCAUUGGUUUGUACUGUCAGAAAAGCUAUUGUAGAGGGGUCUAACUUGUCAUGGAAUGAUAAGAGGUCUCGUCAAGGGAGAGAGUCAUCCAUUCUUACAAGAUGCUGUUUAAGCCCUUUAAGUGGGGAUGGUGGUGCAUCAGGGGCGCUUUUGAGAAAGUUGCACCUGUACAAUAUUGAGAGAAUGGACAAUCCAUCCCUUGGUUGUGCAUUGUCAGCGUGCCCUUCUCUCCUUGAUCUGGAAAUUGUUGGAAUCCAUGUUGAACUGAGGCAAACACUAAUGUCAGUAAGUGCAAGCUGCCAUUUGAUUGAGCGUUUGUUUUUUGAGUCUUCUAGAACAGGUAGAGAUGACAGCUUGAAAGCUCAAACCUGUUCCGAGCUAGUAAACAAUUGCCCUCAUCUAACUUCUUUAUCUCUUCGAGGGUUUAAGCUACACGAUUGUAAAGUUCGAAUACUGGUUAAGGGAUUUCGGAAACUGAAAUUCGUUGACUUUUCAACAUCCUAUUCAAUCACAGGAAAUUUCUUAAGGAACCUUGGAGGCUGCAAUGGUGGGAAUUUGCUCGAGGUUUUAAUUUUAAGGGAUUGCAUGCAUCUCAAAGAGGUGGAAGUUGCUAGGUUGUUGACAGCAAUUGUUGCAGGAGAUUUCAAAUUGCUUAUACAUCUGGACAUAUCCAAUAGGGAAGGCUUAGCAUGUGAAGCUGACUGGUAUCAUAGGUGCUACAACUCUAGUAUUAUGCCUAUAAAGCAAGUUUUGGAAGCAAGGCCUGAUAUGCGUUUGGUGGCUGAAUAUCCAUCAGAAGGAAGCUACGUCGAGACAUUUGAUUCUGACAUGAAUAGUGAUAUAAGCCUGAUAUCACAAUUUAGCAGCCACACGUCAGAUGGAUCAAUUUUUAUGAGUACAUCUGAAAGCAGCUACAAUAGUGAUCAUGGUAGUGGCAAUGAGGAAGGACAAGAUGCUGUUAUUUAUGGGGAAAGCUCAGAUGAGGACUACAAUCUGAACCUGUAAUCAUUCCUCAAUGUAUGGCAUCAAUUGAAAAGGACAUCAACCUAGUGAAGUUGGGAAAUAAAGAUACGCCCGCAUCGCCAGGACCGACCGAUGUCAACUGUGGUUCUUGGAUUUUUCAACUUUGGUUUUGCCCUUCCCUCUGUUGAGUUCAUCAUUGUGAUGUUUCCAAUCGGAAGGAGGAUUGGAGGUUGGUGGUAAUUUUGUUAUUGGCCUUUGUUUCCAUAUUUGCAGAAUGUAAAUAUAUGGCCGCACCAUCCCCGGUCUACCCCAAAAAAGAGAUGGUUUUUCCCCAGCAUCAAUCCAUAUAACACGGGAUUUUUUGUUUUCUGUCACUCAUUGGCUCUAAUGUGGAAGAUAUAUUCAAUCAUGUAUUGAUGUGUCCCUUUAUUAUUACUAGCUGGCAAAUUUGCCAAAUAAAGUAUAAUAAACAAUUAUUUGUUUCCGUUAUUAUGACUGAGUAGUGACCGCGGCAUGACAUUUCAGAUAAACGAAAUGUAAACUAAUUUUUUUUCCAGGUAUUAUGGUGGUAAUGAAGUUUUGAUCAUGUGAUCUCAUAAA